Non-coding RNA from Lasius niger, 45 nucleotides. NCBI's taxonomy places the organism in Eukaryota, Metazoa, Arthropoda, Insecta, Hymenoptera, Formicidae. The record is from Rfam.
CAAUCGGCCCUUUUUGGGGUCACACAUAUAUAAUCCAAAAACAAU